AGAGCGAACGCUGGCGGCAGGCUUAACACAUGCAAGUCGAGCGGGCGUAGCAAUACGUCAGCGGCAGACGGGUGAGUAACGCGUGGGAACGUACCUUUUGGUUCGGAACAACACAGGGAAACUUGUGCUAAUACCGGAUAAGCCCUUACGGGGAAAGAUUUAUCGCCAAAAGAUCGGCCCGCGUCUGAUUAGCUAGUUGGUGAGGUAACGGCUCACCAAGGCGACGAUCAGUAGCUGGUCUGAGAGGAUGAUCAGCCACAUUGGGACUGAGACACGGCCCAAACUCCUACGGGAGGCAGCAGUGGGGAAUAUUGGACAAUGGGCGCAAGCCUGAUCCAGCCAUGCCGCGUGAGUGAUGAAGGCCUUAGGGUUGUAAAGCUCUUUCACACGCGACGAUGAUGACGGUAGCGUGAGAAGAACGCCCCGGCUAACGUUCGCGCCAGCAGCCGC
Molecule: ribosomal RNA, 450 nt
Filed under: uncultured bacterium
Lineage: Bacteria
Description: SSU rRNA
Rfam family: Bacterial small subunit ribosomal RNA
Source: RNAcentral